AGCUAGCAGCAAAGCUGAGAAGUAAAAACUAAAGAGGUAAAGACUCAAGCAUCAGUAGUAUAGCGGUAGGAGUAGAGCCAGAGGCUUGUCGUCGUGCUGCUGCUUCCUGCUUUCGACCAGACUAUGUCAUCCUGAGUAUCUACACUGCAAGCGUUUCCUCGUCGAAGCAAGCUAAAAAUUUAUUUGUGGCGAAGCAAGGUAAAAUUUAUUUGUGGCGAAGCAAGCUAAAAUUUAUUUGUGGUGAAGCAAGCUAGAAUUUAUUUUCACAAUCUUACUACUAGUAUUUGCCUCUACGUGACCAGAACAUAGUGGUCAGAACAGGCCGGUUAUUGGCAAGCGUGGUGCCUAGUCCGUAAGUAACGUACUUAUGAAGGAAUGCAGCAGUUCGCUAUUUCUACCUUCAAUUUCAAAUGCUACAUCUGUGGAAGAGGAUAGGUUUCUAGCGCGUUCACGGAUUUAUUGAGACAUGGACUUGGAAGAAAGGUGGCUAAGGAUUCCCAGACGAGACAGCAAGGACAGCCCAAGCCACACAACGAGAUGAGGAUGGUCAUUGUCAUUUUCUAAGCUGCGAACGGGCAGAAAGCUUCACAACGAGAUGAGGAUGGUCAUUGUCAUUUUCUGAGCUGCGAACGGGCAGAAAGCCAAACAACGGGAUGAGGAUGGUCAUUGUCAUUUUCUGAGCUGCGAACGGGCACAAAG
Sycon ciliatum is the source of this 699-nucleotide long non-coding RNA. RefSeq lists it as uncharacterized. The transcript has 5 exons. Lineage: Eukaryota; Metazoa; Porifera; Calcarea; Leucosolenida; Sycettidae. The record is from RefSeq and is a predicted model, not a curated record.